GACACUUUUUUGUUUUUGCUAAGAAAAAAGGUAGAUCGUUUUGUUCAAGGCCUAAGCAAAUGUCA
This 65-nucleotide transfer RNA is filed under the name Ulva sp. A AF-2021. RNAcentral describes it as "tRNA-Leu". Lineage: Eukaryota; Viridiplantae; Chlorophyta; Ulvophyceae; Ulvales; Ulvaceae. The record is from RNAcentral.